Molecule: ribosomal RNA, 244 nt
Filed under: uncultured Staphylococcus sp.
Lineage: Bacteria; Bacillati; Bacillota; Bacilli; Caryophanales; Staphylococcaceae
Description: partial 16S ribosomal RNA
Rfam family: Bacterial small subunit ribosomal RNA
Source: RNAcentral
CGGCGGACGGGCGAGUAACACGUGGAUAACCUACCUAUAAGACUGGGAUAACUUCGGGAAACCGGAGCUAAUACCGGAUAAUAUAUUGAACCGCGUGGUUCAAUAGUGAAAGACGGUUUUGCUGUCACUUAUAGAUGGAUCCGCGCCGCAUUAGCUAGUUGGUAAGGUAACGGCUUACCAAGGCAACGAUGCGUAGCCGACCUGAGAGGGUGAUCGGCCACACUGGAACUGAGACACGGUCCAG